Myotis lucifugus (little brown bat) is the source of this 138-nucleotide small nucleolar RNA. Ensembl annotates it as small nucleolar RNA SNORA42/SNORA80 family. The record is from Ensembl. NCBI's taxonomy places the organism in Eukaryota, Metazoa, Chordata, Mammalia, Chiroptera, Vespertilionidae.
GAGUGGUCAGAGCAAAUGACAAUCUUUAAAACAUGAAAUAGGCUCAUAGUGGACCCAUGCCAGAGGAAGUUGCAGCCUCAAACCAUUGCCCAGCCUCCUUACCCUUGGGCUGUGAGCACUGAAGGGAGCUGUACAGUA